RNAcentral lists this ribosomal RNA (497 nucleotides) under uncultured bacterium. RNAcentral describes it as "partial 16S ribosomal RNA". It matches the Rfam family "Bacterial small subunit ribosomal RNA", at positions 28 to 507 of the family's 1533-position model. The record is from RNAcentral.
GAUGAACGCUGGCGGCGUGCCUAAUACAUGCAAGUCGAGCGAACGGACGAGAAGCUUGCUUCUCUGAUGUUAGCGGCGGACGGGUGAGUAACACGUGGAUAACCUACCUAUAAGACUGGGAUAACUUCGGGAAACCGGAGCUAAUACCGGAUGAUAUUUCGAACCGCAUGGUUCAAAAGUGAAAGACGGUCUUGCUGUCACUUAUAGAUGGAUCCGCGCUGCAUUAGCUAGUUGGUAAGGUAACGGCUUACCAAGGCAACGAUGCAUAGCCGACCUGAGAGGGUGAUCGGCCACACUGGAACUGAGGCACGGUCCAGACUCCUACGGGAGGCAGCAGUAGGGAAUCUUCCGCAAUGGGCGAAAGCCUGACGGAGCAACGCCGCGUGAGUGAUGAAGGUCUUCGGAUCGUAAAACUCUGUUAUUAGGGAAGAACAUAUGUGUAAGUAACUGUGCACAUCUUGACGGUACCUAAUCAGAAAGCCACGGCUAACUACGUG